RNAcentral lists this ribosomal RNA (468 nucleotides) under uncultured bacterium. RNAcentral's name for it is "partial 16S ribosomal RNA". It matches the Rfam family "Bacterial small subunit ribosomal RNA", at positions 28 to 507 of the family's 1533-position model. The record is from RNAcentral.
GACGAACGCUGGCGGCGUGCUUAACACAUGCAAGUCGAACGGAAAGGCCCUGCUUUUGUGGGGUGCUCGAGUGGCGAACGGGUGAGUAACACGUGAGUAACCUGCCCUUGACUUUGGGAUAACUUCAGGAAACUGGGGCUAAUACCGGAUAGGAGCUCCUGCUGCAUGGUGGGGGUUGGAAAGUUUCGGCGGUUGGGGAUGGACUCGCGGCUUAUCAGCUUGUUGGUGGGGUAGUGGCUUACCAAGGCUUUGACGGGUAGCCGGCCUGAGAGGGUGAACGGCCACAUUGGGACUGAGAUACGGCCCAGACUCCUACGGGAGGCAGCAGUGGGGAGUAUUGCACAAUGGGCGGAAGCCUGAUGCAGCAACGCCGCGUGCGGGAUGACGGCCUUCGGGUUGUAAACCGCUUUCGCCUGUGACGAAGCGUGAGUGACGGUAAUGGGUAAAGAAGCACCGGCUAACUACGUG